UUCACGCCUCGCUUCCGCAAACGCAUCGCCUGUAAUCGCACGAAAAAAAGGAAUCAGGCAAUGCAUCCCCUCUAAUCACGCAUAUAGGCACCAUCCCCAUGAUUACCCACCCAGAAAUCGUGAAAAUUAGUCACCCUCAGAUAGGACCAUCCCCACUCUCGCUCCCCGCCCGCCGCCGCGCCGCCCAGGGAGCAGGAGCCGCCGCGCCCCCGGCCUCGUGCCGGGCCGCGCGCAGCAUGCCGCGCACCACGCCGUCGUCGUGCCCCGGCUCGCCGCCGCUCCUGUCUCGCCUCCCGCGCGCCUGCGCUCCCGUUUAAGGCCCCUCCCGCCCUGUCACGCUUCCCGGGCCUGCCACGCCGCGCGUCGGUGCCUCCGUUCCGCGCCCCGGUGCCUCUUCUCCAUGACGUGCUCCCUCAACAGCGAGAUCUCUAGCACCAUGCGUACGUGAGGAGGGCGUUGGAGAUAAUUCCUUCAUCUGAAUCCUCCACAUAAAAGGUAUACACGUUCUUUGAUUUAUAUAAACUUGGUCGUGUAUAAGAUCUGGAAGGACCAAUUUCAUCUUUCUUUGAUUUGAUAAACGAACAUAUAAGUGUAUGUAGAUCGGUGAAAGAUCCUGCUUGACGAUGUGUUUCUGCCUUUAAUAUAUUGCCACAUGCAAAUAGUUGAUUCCUGUAGAUAUGGAUUCAACUGUGAAAUAUCUGUUUCUCAAAAAAUGAUUGACUUCCAUUUGGCACUAUGUUAAAGUCCAAUUAUGCUAGCCAUGAGGAUGGGGGAGACUAAGAUGGAUGAACACCUGAGCCCAGAUUACUUUGCAGGUCAAUGCUCCACUAUUCUAUGUAUGUGACAGAUUUCAAGAAUACUGAGGUUUGAUGUACAUGUUUCAUUAGAUAGGAGACUCUUGCUUCUUUAUUUUAGGUUCCAGUCGAGUCAAUAUUGGUUGAUCUUGCUUCUUUAUUUCAGUGAAAUUAUUUCCAUUUGCAAUUGAAGAUACCCAGUGUGACUUUUCUGCCCUUUACGUACGUAGCUUGUGUCGUCUUUGAACCCAUUUUCCUAUUCAAAUGCCAAAUUACGUGCAGUAUAUAAAACAACUGCAGCAUGCUCAGGGUUUCAUGGUGAAGCAAAUGUGAAUUACUGGUUCUCCUAUCAUUUCAUUUUUUAUUGGAAACGGUGAGGAUGAUAGUUCCUAAUUCGAGCUGAUGCAUCUUACAAUCCCAAAAGAGCUCUUUUUGUGGAAGUCAUGAACCUUGCAUCUUACCAUUUUGAUUUCUAAUUUGUUAAAAUCUGGACCUUUAUUGUCUCAUUGACUCAUUUGAAACAGUGAUGCGCCGCUCCUCUCCCACCGGGACCCUUGACGCCGGCAGCACCUCCCAUCUCUAUAUGCUGAUUUCUCAAUUGGUUCCUUUAAUAUUGGUUGGAGGAUUGGGGUGGCUUUCUUUUUAUUGAUUGAAGAACUGGUGGAUUCUCCCGACGCUUGUGCGUGCUAAUUAUGUCUGUUCUUGCUCAUUGGCAUGGUCAGAAACCGGAGUCAUGGAGACUUACUUGUCACACUAUCAUAUGGAACAAGGAAAAUUCCUGCAAGGCAUGAUUUCACUAACCUUUGGUACCACUAAUAGUUGUAUUAUAAGUAUGUUUCAGGAAAAAAAAUCAGGUUGUUUUCCAAUGUGGAAGAAAUAAUUGCACAGUUAACCGGCACAUUUGAUGUACUAGCAGAAUGUGAUCCAAUUGUACCUCCUGCUAUGUGGUGUUGCCAUGCACACAUGUCCUGCCUUGUUGCCAUAGGCACCGGUUCCUGACAGUUUCCAAGUUUUCUUUGUGUCUUCACUAGCAUUGCUAGACUUAUUUGCUCAAAAGAUGAACACAUCAAAGAGCAUGUAUACUACUGAUACCAGUAUCUUUAAGGAUGGAUAAUCUCUUCUUCGCAUCCCUAUUAUUCCCCUGUAUGAUUGGACUUUAUAGUAGAAUUAUUUGUGCGUGAGUUUGUAUUUUUAAGACCGUUCUUGGGAAUCCAUGGUAAAUUGUAAAUUGUUCUGAACUGUCGGCAUAGAAUAGAUCCAAGCCAAACGGCCGCCAUCAUUUGUAAUUAUUUGGAUAAAAAGACAAAAGUUUUCUUUCUUUCAUGUUUGUAAA
Molecule: long non-coding RNA, 2127 nt
Organism: Triticum aestivum (bread wheat)
Lineage: Eukaryota; Viridiplantae; Streptophyta; Magnoliopsida; Poales; Poaceae
Exons: 2
Source: RefSeq, a predicted model, not a curated record